UACGAAGGGGGCUAGCGUUGCUCGGAAUUACUGGGCGUAAAGCGCACGUAGGCGGUCUUUUAAGUCAGGGGUGAAAUCCUGGAGCUCAACUCCAGAACUGCCUUUGAUACUGGGGAUCUCGAGUCCGGAAGAGGUGAGUGGAACUCCGAGUGUAGAGGUGAAAUUCGAUAGAUAUUCGGAAGAACACCAGUGGCGAAGGCGGCUCACUGGUCCGGUACUGACGCUGAGGUGCGAAAGCGUGGGGAGCAAACAGGG
Molecule: ribosomal RNA, 255 nt
Filed under: uncultured bacterium
Lineage: Bacteria
Description: partial 16S ribosomal RNA
Rfam family: Bacterial small subunit ribosomal RNA
Source: RNAcentral